GACGAACGCUGGCGGCGUGCUUAACACAUGCAAGUCGAGCGGUAAGGCCCUUUCGGGGGUACGACGAGCGGCGAACGGGUGAGUAACACGUGGGUGACCUGCCCUCCAGCUCUGGGAUAAGCCUGGGAAACCGGGUCUAAUACUGGAUAUGACUCCAUGACGCAUGUUGUGGGGUGGAAAGCCUUGUGCGGCUGAGGAUGGGCCCGCGGCCUAUCAGCUUGUUGGUGGGGUGACGGCCUACCAAGGCGACGACGGGUAGCCGGCCCGACGAGGGCGACCGGCCACACUGGGACUGAGACACGGCCCAGACUCCUACGGGAGGCAGCAGUGGGGAAGUCUUGCGCAAUGGGCGAAAGCCUGACGCAGCGACGCCGCGUGAGGGAUGACGGCCU
RNAcentral lists this ribosomal RNA (392 nucleotides) under uncultured bacterium. RNAcentral's name for it is "bacterial SSU rRNA". It matches the Rfam family "Bacterial small subunit ribosomal RNA", at positions 28 to 417 of the family's 1533-position model. The record is from RNAcentral.